UAAUAAGUGUUUUAUGGCACUUUUUAAAUCCAUAUCCACCUUGUGUGCAAUGUCAGUCGAUCUUCUUCAUGGAGAUCGACCAAACAUCAACCUUUAUCUUUUAACUCUUUGUCUGAAAAAUAUAUUUUAUUUGAAUUAAUAACAAUUCAAAAUA
RNAcentral lists this unclassified non-coding RNA (154 nucleotides) under soil metagenome. Its description in RNAcentral is "partial internal transcribed spacer 1". The record is from RNAcentral.